CCAAUCAAACUCAGUGAUAGCUGGUUCUCUCCGAAAUAUAUUUAGGUAUAGCCUCAAGAAUUGGCAUGUAGGGGUAAAGCACUGAAUGGGCUAGGGCUACUUACCGUGGUACCAAACCCAAUCAAACUCUGAAUACUACAUGUUUUAUCUUGGGAGUCAGGCGAUGGGUGAUAAAAUCCACCGUCGAGAGGGGAACAACCCAGACUACCAAAUAAGGUCCCUAAGUUCUAUCUAAGUGGAAAAGGAUGUAACAUUGCUUAGACAAUUAGGAGGUUGGCUUAGAAGCAGCCACCCUUUAAAGAAAGCGUAACAGCUCACUAAUCUAGCGAUGAUGCGCCGAAAAUAUAACGGGGCUAAGAUAGACACCGAAUUUGUAGACCCGCCAGGGUGGUAGGAGAGCGUUCUAAAAUCAGUGAAGCUGUAUCGGCAAGAAGCAGUGGAGAUUUUAGAAGUGAGCAUGCAGGUAUGAGUAACGAUAAAACAGGUGAGAAUCCUGUUCGCCGAAAACCCAAGGUUUCCUACGCGAUGCUCGUCAUCGUAGGGUUAGUCUGGUCCUAAGCCGAGUCCGAAAGGGGUAGGUGAUGGAAAAUCGGUUAAUAUUCCGAUACCAACUUUAAAUUGUGAUGGAAGGACGCAUAGGGCUAUCUGAGGUCGCUGAUGGAAUAGCGAUUCGAAGGAUUUAGGUAGAAAAAUUGGUAAAUCCGUUUUUUGUUUCCGAAAUCUGACAGGCUCUUGAAACUCUUCGGAGUGAAUUGAGAAUCAGGGAUGCCGUCGUGCCAAGAAAAGUUUCUAAGCUUAGUUUAAAGUUGCCAGUACCGUAAACCGACACAGGUGGGUGAGAUGAGUAUUCUCAGGCGCGCAGAAGAACCGUGAUUAAGGAACUCUGCAAAAUAGCACCGUAUCUUCGGUAUAAGGUGUGCCACAGCAAUGUGGUCUCAGCAAAGAGUCCCUCCCGACUGUUUACCAAAAACACAGCACUCUGCCAACAAGUAAUUGGAUGUAUAGGGUGUGACGCCUGCCCGGUGCUGGAAUGUUAAGGGGAUUUGUUAGGCAACGAAGCAAUGAACCGAAGCACCAGUAAACGGCGGCCGUAACUAUAACGGUCCUAAGGUAGCGAAAUUCCUUGUCG
Molecule: ribosomal RNA, 1129 nt
Filed under: metagenome
Description: bacterial LSU rRNA
Rfam family: Bacterial large subunit ribosomal RNA
Source: RNAcentral